This 780-nucleotide ribosomal RNA is filed under the name Triticum aestivum (bread wheat). RNAcentral describes it as "partial small subunit ribosomal RNA". Lineage: Eukaryota; Viridiplantae; Streptophyta; Magnoliopsida; Poales; Poaceae. The record is from RNAcentral.
AUGAGACCCAAGGAUAUCGCGCCCAAGAUCUUUGAACUUUCUACAAGAAAAAACUGCUCUGUGAAGAAGGCCUUGCACAAUAACUUCUGGGUUUCUAAGGUGGAUAUUGGUGGGAACCUCACUGUUAGCCACAUAUCUGAGUUCGUCAACCUUUGGGGAAAGCUCUCGCUGGUCAAUCUCAACCCGGAGGAGACCGAUUCAAUUACGUGGAAGCUCACCAAUGAUGGCCAAUAUUCAGCGGCGUCGGCUUAUAAUACACAAUUCCUUGGGCUAGUGGACACGGACAUGCCUCUGUUAGUGUGGCAGAACUGGGCUCCUCCCAAAUGCAAAUUUUUUGCUUGGUUGGUCAUCAACAACAGAGUUUGGACGGCUGACAGGUUUCAGCGAAGGGGUUGGCAAAAUUGUAAUCUUUGUCCUCUUUGCAAGCAAACUCUGGAAUCGGUGGCACACCUUCUUUUCCAAUGCCGCUACACCAUCCGUGUGUGGGGAAUGAUUAAAUCUUGGCUCGGUUUACAAGAUGUACACCCAGCGAACUGGGGUGGUUUGACUUCGGUCAAAGAGUGGUGGCGCGCCAAUGCUUCUGGGACCUCACGACCACGAAGGGCGCUGACUUCCAUCAUGCUACUGACUUCUUGGGAAAUAUGGAAAGAGCGAAAUGCACAUGUGUUCCGUAACAACGCAAUUCCAGUGGGUGUGCUUGUUGUUCGAAUCAAAGAGGAAGCCUCACGGUGGUGCCGUGCCGGGGCAAAAUAUUUGUGUAAUGUAAUGCCGCGAGAAUGA